RNAcentral lists this ribosomal RNA (377 nucleotides) under uncultured Acidobacteriota bacterium. RNAcentral's name for it is "bacterial SSU rRNA". It matches the Rfam family "Bacterial small subunit ribosomal RNA", at positions 521 to 896 of the family's 1533-position model. Lineage: Bacteria; Pseudomonadati; Acidobacteriota. The record is from RNAcentral.
UAAUACGGGGGGGGCAAGCGUUGUUCGGAAUUACUGGGCGUAAAGGGCUCGUAGGCGGCCACUCAAGUCGGACGUGAAAUCCCUCGGCUUAACCGGGGAACUGCGUCCGAUACUGGGUAGCUAGAAGCCGGGAGAGGGAUGCGGAAUUCCAGGUGUAGCGGUGAAAUGCGUAGAUAUCUGGAGGAACACCGGUGGCGAAGGCGGCAUCCUGGACCGGUCUUGACGCUGAGGAGCGAAAGCUAGGGGAGCAAACGGGAUUAGAUACCCCGGUAGUCCUAGCCCUAAACGAUGAAUGCUUGGUGUGGCGGGUAUCGAUCCCUGCCGUGCCGGAGCUAACGCGUUAAGCAUUCCGCCUGGGGAGUACGGUCGCAAGGCUG